Molecule: RNA transcript, 3434 nt
Organism: Rosa rugosa (rugosa rose)
Lineage: Eukaryota; Viridiplantae; Streptophyta; Magnoliopsida; Rosales; Rosaceae
Exons: 8
Source: RefSeq, a predicted model, not a curated record
AUGUGGCCAUGUGUCCUAGCGCUAGACAACUACACAAUAGCAUCGAUCUAUUCAGACCAAACUAUUAGAACACUUCAGAAAAAAUCCAUUCAGACCAAACUAAUGCCCACAGCUAAACCCGACACGACAUUCACUCCACAAAACCCCACAGCUGACCCCAACUCACCCCGACUCUCUCUCUGACUCCCUCGCUGUGCGACUCUCACUCUGACUCACUCCACAGCUGCCCCGACUCACUCCACAAUCCUAAACCCUAAAUCCACCACCUCCAAAGCGAAGCCUUCGAAGCCCUAAAUGGGAGAUUUCCCUUCGAAGCCCUAAAGGAGAUUUCUCUGUGAAUCCGUGGAUUCACAUCGGAGCAGCCUUAGACGAUUCACACAAGAGCCCUAAAAAAUUUCGUCAUCUCGAACUUCGAUUCACGCCUUUGAUUCGAUUUGUCUCGAACUUGAUCUUAAAAUUGUGCACUCUAGUCACCGGAGUUUAACAGAGACUCGGAUCUCCAUAUCCGACCAUGGAUUCCGAGCCUUUCGAGAGAGAAAAGAACGUGACUUUUCUGGGGAUGAUGUACCGGCUCCUCCCACACCAAUCCGAAAAAGCUUCAUCAUCAUCUUCUUCUUCUUCCUUUGAAGGUCCUCGUUCUACUGAGGGCCUCUCUGCCGCUUUGUCCGAUCAGUCUCGUAUUAUAGUCGCCAGACCUGUUAGAGGAGUGGUGUCCCUGUGGACAUGCUCAAAGUUCUGUGCAAUUGCCUUUGUUGCUGGGAUCAUUGUUGGCUAUACCCUGAAGCGACGCAUUAAACGCUGGGCUAACAAGCUUCUCAAGAGGAUCAAAGACGAUUGAUUGCACCUAGGUUGAGUUAAGUUAUCGCAUUCAAUAGAUUGUCGUCAAUAGAUGAGUGAUUCUCUAACAUUAGUUGUGUAAAGGGUGCAUUUUUGAGGAGUUUUCAGCUUCUGUGGUGACAAAUGCAUCUCACCUUAUCAACAGAUAUUGUUAUCCUUUUUAAACUACUAUGGUAAAGUUUUAGAGAACAGCAUAGGCUAUCCUUUUUAUCCUUUUUAAACUACUAUGAGAGAUCUUUAGUCUCUCAGUCAAUGAAGUUGCGGAUUCUUCAAUGUUGGAUUUUUCUAAUCUGAUUGAAAUCUUGUGUUUGUUUUGCAGUUUUUUGUUGGUGGAAACUGGAAGUGUGUAAGUAUUUCGGUUUGUUUGAUGAAAAAUGUUUCCUUGUUAUCAACUAGCUCUACCCUUGGGUUUUUUUCUUCAACUAGCUCUACCCUUUGGUUCAAUUUUGUAGCUUUUAUGAAUUGGGUUUUAGUCAUAAGUUCCUAAUCAUAUUCUUCUUUUUUUCUCUGUUUGCGUGUGUGGAUUUUUGUUUGGUUUUAUUGAACCUGAUUAGUUUUCUCAAGUUCUUAUUAAUCUUGAAUCGGUGAGUAUUUUCUGCUAUCGGUUUGAAGUCUCUCCAAUUUAAUUCCUUUGGUGGUUGAGUCUAUUUUAUUAUAAGCAACUUAUAGCUCCUUAUAUCACCACUUGAUUAAUGUUUAAAAUCUUUUCUCUUGAGAAUCAAUCUUUUGGAUGUCAAAAGUGUGUAGUGCUUUAUUUAGUUAUCUGCACCGCACCUUGGUAUUCCAUUAAAUGGGCUUUGUUUUUGAAUUCCUUGUUCUGUGUUAGUUGGGCAUAGUACGUAUAUAUAGUUGGGAGGUUUAAUAAUGAAUAUGUUUUCUGAAUGGUUCAUUAUCCAGGAAAAUUACUAGUUGGCAAAAGAUUGUGUUAUAUAUAGUAUGAGCACACCAGAAGAAGAACCACAGUGCCGCAUGUGUGGGUGGUAUUUUACGAGGCAGGAGAUAGAGCAUUGUUCUCCAUCUCGGAGGGAUGGGAUUAGCAGGAAGAAAGAGACAGAAUUGCGCGAUUUAUGUUGCUCGUAUCUUAAAGAGCUUGGCAUGAGGCUUGAAUUGUAAGUUGAGAUCAUACUUGUAUUGAUAGCGUCUCAGAUUAGUUAUGGAAACUUUAUCGUUUCUCUGACUGUAUGUUGGAUUUGUGUAAGUUGGAUUUAUCAAUUGUGAAAUAUAUGUGGCUGAGAGUUUCACCAAUUGAUAAAGAUGUAAGUAGCAGCAUAUCCCCUUUGAUUCUCUUUUGUAGUUAUGUAUUUGUUUCCUGUUAUAAAUCCUCUCUCUCUCUCUCUCUCUCUCUCUCACAGAUUCAUUUGUUAAUUCUAUCGAAACAUUUCAUUACUUGUUUUCAUGUUUUGUGUCUUUUUUCUUUCCACACAGCUUUUUUAUUUAAAUAUGGUGUUACUAAGUUAAUUGUUUUACUACUUAAGAUAGAAUUGAGUUGGGUGCUCUCAGUUUGUUUUACUACUUAAGUAGCUAGUUCUCCUAAUUAGUAUGUACCAAUGCAUUCAUCGAGCCCCUUAUGGGUCUUCCUCUGUUUGUUAUUUCAAUUUUAACAAGAAGUCCAUGCAAGCAGAAAGAACUGCCUUAGUGUAUUUGUGGCUGCCUUAAUAUUAUUCUAUUACAUGUUAAUUUUUAUAUGGGAUUCACCAUUGAGAGCUUUAACCUCAAAAGGUCGAAUAUCAAUGUGGGAGAAUUGGUUGGUCAAAUAUCAGCUAUUUUGGGAAUAUGUUGGUUUCUAGUUGAUAUAUGGUUCCUAAGGGGCAUGUUGGAUUCAGGGAGACAACACUUAGUCCUCCUUUGAUUCACUGUCAUAUGGACAUGUGCCUUACAGUCUUACUCAAGGCAGAGUGUUUUUCAGGAUAGAAGCAAUAGUGCAAGAAGCUGCUCAAGGAACCAUAUCUAGCAGUGAUGCUCUUAAUCUACGAUUAGAGAAUCAGGUUAACAAUGGUACAUCAUCACAAUCACAAGGAGGUUCACUUCCUAUCCCUACUGCAUUGAAGAACUUUUCAAUGUCCCAGAAGGAAAAAACUCUUGAUGAAUUUGUACGGGAUAAAUGGCUUUCCUUCACUGCACAUUUUCUAUGUUGGACUUGGUGUUAGAUCCUUCCUUGAUCUGCGAAGUUGGUUUCGCAAUAAUGAUGUUCCUUCAUGCGAAGUGUGCAACGAUGACUGGCGUGAAGGCAGUGUUAUGCCAGAAAGAGGGUUGUUUGGUUCGGAUUCAUCAGUACUGCCUAGGAAAACUGUUUGCUAAGAAAAAGGGUGAAAGAGUUUGUCCAAGUUGUGGUACUCAAUGGCAAUAUACAGGACCAAAAGCAGAACCUGUAGAAGAUGAUGAGCCAGAUUGCGCUACUCAGAGCCAACCACCUGUGGAACCCAAGAGAAAGAAGCUGAGAACAAGCCGAAUUGGUGAUGUCCCAAGUAGAUGGGCAUGCACUAGAAUGCUUUUCUUGUGUAAAAUGUUGGUUUCAAUGAUUGGGAAAUGCACCCAUUUUGCUUUUGAAGUUUAAAGUAAUGGUUAUAUGAAUCAUUUGAUGGUUUGCAAUGUUUGUA